Molecule: unclassified non-coding RNA, 4240 nt
Filed under: Hevea brasiliensis (rubber tree)
Lineage: Eukaryota; Viridiplantae; Streptophyta; Magnoliopsida; Malpighiales; Euphorbiaceae
Source: RNAcentral
GAAGCAGAGAACCUUUUAAAAUGGCGCCUCUGCUUUCAAAUUAAAAUACCCAUCCAAUUUUGCUACGCAUCCAGCAACAGUGUUGAUACAAGUUGAACCUUGAAACCCUAGAAAUUUUUGAGAGAGACAGAGUGUUUGUGAGAGAGAGAAGAGGAUGAUUUUUAGAACUCCACCGCCGAAGAGACCUAGAGACGAUGCCAAAGCCAUCGAGAGCUCGCCGGUCGGUUCUGAUCGCCGGCUUGUUAUUUACGAAGACCCUGUGGUUCAAUUGCCUGAAUCCUCUCAUGAACCUCAACCGUCUGAUCACAUGCUCUGCACCUACCAAUGCCGCCAAAUGGUUAAAUCAGAUUUUCUGGAUGCCUUGAGCAAUGCGGAGAAGCAAGUUUGUGAUUAUAAAUCUAAAUUGGAGACUUUAAAUGAGAACUUCUGCAAAGCUGAAGCAGAAAGGAAGAAAUUUCGAGAUCAAUUCCUAUAUGCUGAACAAGAACUUGCUGCUGCCAAAGGACGUGAACAGGCACUGCAACAGCAACUUUUAAUGGAGAUCAAUGAUUCCCAGGAGAGGUUGAAGAAACAAUUAGAAUUGUGCAGUAAACUUGAGAUAAAGCUGGAAAAUGAGAGAAACCUUCGGAAAAAAGCUGAAUCCUCAGCAACUUCUGCAGAAGAGAAAGCAAGUGUUUUGGAGGGAAAGCUUUCCCAUCUUUCUGAAAGCAUAGACAGAGAGAAAAAGUGCCUCAAUAAUGAGCUUGCACAGCUGCGAGGAGAUUCAGAACUUACUGUUUCCAGGAUAACUGCAGAUCUUGAAAGAAUGGAAUUCAGAGCUAAAAAUGCUGGGAAGGAAUCAGAGCUACUGAAGGAGCAGCUAGAAGAUCUAAAAUUGCAACUAAGUGAGUGCUUUCACCAGAAGAGUGAACUAGAGAAGAAAUUAUCGAGUUUAACGAUUCAAGGAGUUGCUUCUACGGAGAGCAAUAUUUUGGUUAAACAUCUCCAAGAAGAGCUUAGGAAUUACGAGUCUGAAGUGAGAGAAGCAAGAAAAUUGAAAUCGUCUUAUGAGAACAUUGAGUUAUUAAAGGAGAAAUUAUUGGAAGAAAAGAGCCGCAAAGAAACGGCAGAGUCAGAGUUAUCCAAGUUACGAGAGUGCGAGCUAAAUAUGAGGAAGUUGGAGGACGAGUUGUCUUCUUGGAAGUUGAUGAUAAAAGACAUCCCUGAUGUGUCAUGCUGUGACGAUAUACCUCUUAAGUUUUCAGCUUUACAGAAAGAGGUGAUUGAUAACAUGAUUAAGGUGGGUGAGGCAAAUGCGCGAUUGAAACAAAUGGAGGUGGCUCUGGAUGCUGCCCAACUUGGCAAACAAAAUGCUGAAACUGAGACUGCAUUGGCUAAAGAGAAGGCAGAAGGCUUGAAAUUGGAGGUCAAUCAGAUUGAAUUGAUGCUUUCUGCGGUUACUGAAGAGAGAGAUAGGUUGAAAAAUAUUGUUGAUGAAUUGAGGAAGUCAAAGAAUGAACAAGCAGGGGAUGGAGCAGCUUCUGGAAGUCUUCUUCAGGAACUUGAAUCAUCUCUUAUGAAGAGGGAUUGUUUAAUUAAAGAAUUGGAGCGUAAUUUACAUGAAAAAAAAGAAGUUAAUAAUCGACAACUUGAUGAAAUAAAGUUGCUCAAUGACAGGCUGAAUAAUGAAGCUAGGAGAAUCAAAUCGCUGGAAAGGGAGAGUGACCGGCUUCGUUCAGAGAUUUCUCUAUUGGAGUCCAAGCUAGGUCAUGGUGACUAUUCUGCCGCAAACACAAAAGUAUUGAGAAUGGUGAAUACUCUUGCAGUUGAUAAUGAUGCCAAACAAACUAUAGAGGCUUUGCGUACUGAGUUGCAGAAGACAAAGGAGAAGUUACAAGCUGUUGAAGAAUUAAAGAGUCAGUCAGGCGAUGCUGGAAAGCUGGUGGAUUCCUAUAUAUCUGGGAAAAUGACACAGUUAAAAGAACAAAUUGCAACUCUUGAAAAACGUGAAGAAAGAUACAAGACUGUUUUUGCUGAUAGAAUUUCAGUGUUUAGGAGGGCAUGUUGCGAAUUGUUUGGUUACAAGAUUGUAAUGGAUGAACACCAGCGGUCGAAUGGAAUUCCGGUUACUCAUUUUACCCUUCAGUCUAUCUAUGCGCAAAAUGAUGAUGAGAAGCUUGAAUUUGAAUAUGAAUCAGGAAAUACAAACAUUUUGGCGAAUGCUUACACCUCUCAGUCUGAGAUAUCUCGUCAGGUAUGUAGCAAAACCUUUUCUAAGAAUGCGUGUUUAUGGACUCACAUCCAAAGGUGCACAAACACAGUUUGUGUGCAUAUACUUGUGAAUUACUGAUCUCAUAUGUUUUUCGAGAUGGCUGUCUAUUGGAUUUAUACAGACAUUUCUCGAGGUUAAAAUGGGUCUCUCCAAUCAUGUCAAAUAAUGUUCAAGAUUAUCAAUUUGGUUCUUUCAUAAAACUUGAAAUGAGUUCCAAUUUGAUUCCUUGGCCAUGCUUGUGAAGGGAUUCUUUUUUUGAAGCAGCUGGUUUGGAUUAUCUAUUUUGUGUUAGUACUUAAAAUUCUUCAAGUAAGGUGAUAGGUCAUCUGAAUUGCUGGCCUGUAUUGGGGCGAAUGCUACUCAUCCUAAGCCUGCCUUUUGCAGGUUGAUAUAUUUAUUCAUAAGAUGAAUUCUAUCCCAGCGUUCACAGCCAACUUGACAGUGGAGUCUUUCAACAGAAGAACUCUAUCUUGAUACAAAUCAAAAUACCAAGAUUUCCCCAGAUGCUCCUGAUUUCUCGUAUGUUGAAAAUCAGUGUGUUCUGUAUCUUAAUUAUUUUAUUUCCCAGUUGAUUAUGCUGUUAACUUAGCAUGAUCUUUUUAAUUAUACAGCUGCGAAAGAGAGAUUUGAUGCUUUUGUAUUAUUAGCAUGUGAAAUGAACUGCCAAAAAUAUGUAAUAUGUUGGUUUUUGGCACUUCAAGAUUUGAUGGUGAUUCUCUGUUCCGCAUAUGCCCCUGGAUGCUGUUGAUAUGCCAACUAUUUAGAACCUAAUAAUUCUCUCUGGCACUCCUUUUGACUGGAGUCUAGUUCAAAUAAUUCAACUUUUGGUGACCUUCCAACCUUUUGAGUCCUCAUCAGAAUUUAAGCUUAUUUGUGUCAAAUUAUGCUUGUACCCUUUGUGAUGGAGAAAGGUGAAGAAAAAGUGAGCGUGGGGAAAAAGUUAAGAAAUUGAGGUGCAUUACUGUUAACUGUCCAAACUUUACGGUAUUGAUCCAUUUCCUUUGGUCUUCCCAUGGCUUUUAAUCGCAAUUAUGGAGUAUACAUCCCAUGAACGGCUAUGCCUCAAUAAUACAAAACUACCACCACCAUCAUUCUUCACUUGUGUCACUUCAACUAAGACCAUCUUUCCUAGCUUGGGAUGAUUUCUGUUUUGAAGUAUACGAGUAAUUGAACGCUAAGCUGUGCAUAUUUCCCCAUCUUUUACCUCUUUUAUGUUCUAGCUCAGUAUUCGAACUUUGGUCAAUAAUAUGAGCACUUGCCUUGUCCUGGGGAUUGAUGUAUUCUGUUUUUCACUGUGCUUGGCUAAUAAAUAUGAAAUGCUUGGGUUUUGUUGUCAUUUUUAAGUCCAAUUAUGAUGUAUUAGGUACAUUUUCGAAUUAUGCAUUUUCAUUUUCAUUUUCAUCCAAGUCUCCAAAUUUCAAAUCCUUAUAUUAUUUAAAUGUAACAUCAGAAUUUUUCUUUUCAGCUAUAGCAUUAUCGUCUGCUUUUGACAAAGAAAAUUUGAUGCUUUGGAGGCAUCCAUGCUACAUUGAGUGAGAACAGUUGGCAGGCAAGGAGUUUGUUAGUGCAUGAGUAAAGAAAGAUGGGAUGAUGGGAAAGAAUAGAUGGGCUUGAAAAGAUGGUUAAAAAAGCAUAUUAUAGUGCCGCUUUCUUCGCAGUGGUGAUGGGUUUUUGAGCGCUCUAAAGAUUUAAUCCCUAAUUUUUGACUAAGUUGAAAGCUCUCAACUUUCAGUGGCUACUAGCUAAUGAAGGAUGUGCUUGUGCUGACUUUGCUAUUGAUGAUGAUGGUCAUUGCUAAUUUGUUGAGUGGUUAUGUAAGGUUUUGGCAAUGGUGAUAAUCUCUUUUAAGAAAUUUGAGAAAACCCUAAUGUCACUAUCAAAUGUCAAUCACUUGAAUGCUAUGAAUCUGAUGAUCCUGUUUUCUAUCUUUUGCUUUUUGGAAAAUUUGAAAUUGCUGGCCUGUUAAUUAAUUUAAGAGGUUGAGCUGCU